UACCUACGGGGCGCAGCAGUGGGGAAUAUUGGGCAAUGGGCGCAAGCCUGACCCAGCAACGCCGCGUGAAGGAAGAAGGCUUUCGGGUUGUAAACUUCUUUUAUGAGGGACGAAAGAAAUGACGGUACCUCAUGAAUAAGCCACGGCUAACUACGUGCCUGCAGCCGCGGUAAUACGUAGGUGGCAAGCGUUAUCCGGAUUUACUGGGUGUAAAGGGAGCGUAGGCGGGACUGCAAGUUGGGUGUCAAAUCUACCGGCUCAACCGGUAGCCGCACUCAAAACUGCAGUUCUUGAGUGAAGUAGAG
Molecule: ribosomal RNA, 305 nt
Filed under: uncultured bacterium
Lineage: Bacteria
Description: bacterial SSU rRNA
Rfam family: Bacterial small subunit ribosomal RNA
Source: RNAcentral